Molecule: ribosomal RNA, 253 nt
Filed under: uncultured bacterium
Lineage: Bacteria
Description: partial 16S ribosomal RNA
Rfam family: Bacterial small subunit ribosomal RNA
Source: RNAcentral
UACGUAGGGUUCGAGCGUUAAUCGGAAUUACUGGGCGUAAAGCGUGCGCAGGCGGUUGUGCAAGACAGAUGUGAAAUCCCCGGGCUCAACCUGGGAAUUGCAUUUGUGACUGCACGGCUAGAGUGUGUCAGAGGGGGGUAGAAUUCCACGUGUAGCAGUGAAAUGCGUAGAUAUGUGGAGGAAUACCGAUGGCGAAGGCAGCCCCCUGGGUCAAGAUUGACGCUCAUGCACGAAAGCGUGGGGAGCAAACAGG